UGCCUCAAAGAGGGGGACAACAGUUGGAAACGACUGCUAAUACCGCAUAAGCCCACGACCCGGCAUCGGGUUGAGGGAAAAGGAGUAAUCCGCUUUGAGAUGGCCUCGCGUCCGAUUAGCUAGUUGGUGAGGUAAUGGCCCACCAAGGCGACGAUCGGUAGCCGGACUGAGAGGUUGAACGGCCACAUUGGGACUGAGACACGGCCCAGACUCCUACGGGAGGCAGCAGUGGGGAAUAUUGCACAAUGGGGGAAACCCUGAUGCAGCGACGCCGCGUGGAGGAAGAAGGUCUUCGGAUUGUAAACUCCUGUUGUUGAGGAAGAUAAUGACGGUACUCAACAAGGAAGUGACGGCUAACUACGUGCCAGCAGCCGCGGUAAAACGUAGGUCACAAGCGUUGUCCGGAAUUACUGGGUGUAAAGGGAGCGCAGGCGGGAAGACAAGUUGGAAGUGAAAUCCAUGGGCUCAACCCAUGAACUGCUUUCAAAACUGUUUUUCUUGAGUAGUGCAGAGGUAGGCGGAAUUCCCGGUGUAGCGGUGGAAUGCGUAGAUAUCGGGAGGAACACCAGUGGCGAAGGCGGCCUACUGGGCACCAACUGACGCUGAGGCUCGAAAGUGUGGGUAGCAAACAGGAUUAGAUACCCUGGUAGUCCACACUGUAAACGAUGAUUACUAGGUGUUGGAGGAUUGACCCCUUCAGUGCCGCAG
RNAcentral lists this ribosomal RNA (708 nucleotides) under uncultured bacterium. RNAcentral describes it as "bacterial SSU rRNA". It matches the Rfam family "Bacterial small subunit ribosomal RNA", at positions 127 to 851 of the family's 1533-position model. The record is from RNAcentral.